AAACGAGCCUAGUGAUAGCUGGUUACUUAAGAAAAGAAUUUUAGUUCAACCUAGAGCUUCCCAAGCCCCUCCAAGCAACCCCCAAGCUUUAGAGCAACUCAAAUAAGGUACAGCUUAUUUGAACAAGGACACAACCUAAUCUAACGGGUAACUAAUCUAAAAUAGCCCAGUUGGCCUAAAAGCAGCCACCAUUUAAAAGCGUCAAAGCCUAACACAGCCCCAAACACCAAUCCCCCCGCCCAUCCCGAACCCUUAACCAAUAUUAAGUACUUCUAUGCCCCCAUAGAAAUUUUUAUGUUAAAACUAGUAAUGUGAAACACCUUCUCCUAAUGUAAGCAUAAAUCAGACAGAAACCCGCACUGAUAAUUAACAACCCAAAGUAGCAACCCCACAAGAAAACCCUGCCUCAACCCCCGUUAAUCUAACACAAGAACAUUACAAGAAAGAUCAAAAGAAAGAGAAGGAACUCGGCAAAUAAUGAUCUCGCCUGUUUACCAAAAACAUCGCCUCUUGCACCUCAUAAGAGGUCCAGCCUGCCCAGUGACUCUGUUCAACGGCCGCGGUAUCCUGACCGCGCGAAGGUAGCGUAAUCACUUGUUUUUUAAAUGAAGACUAGUAUGAAAGGCACCACGAAAAUCAAACUGUCUCCUCUUUCCCAUCAAUGAAACUAAUCUCCCCGUGAAGAAGCGGGGAUCUCUCUAUAAGACGAGAAGACCCUAUGGAGCUUCAAACUAAAUUAGCACUUUGCCACACUUUCACCCCGAAAUACCCACGCAUUCGUUCUAUGAGUUUUAGGUUGGGGCGACCGCGGAGAAUAAACCACCCUCCACGCUGACAAGAACCACUUCUUAAUGAAAAACCACAACUUUUCAAAUCAACAUAUUGACAUCUAUUGACCCACACUCUGAUCAACGGACCAAGUUACCCUAGGGAUAACAGCGCAAUCUACUUCAAGAGCUCAUAUCGACAGGUAGGCUUACGACCUCGAUGUUGGAUCAGGAAAUCCUAGUGGUGCAGCAGCUACUAAAGGUU
RNAcentral lists this ribosomal RNA (1032 nucleotides) under Euparkerella tridactyla (three-toed Guanabara frog). Its description in RNAcentral is "partial large subunit ribosomal RNA". It matches the Rfam family "Bacterial large subunit ribosomal RNA", at positions 831 to 2573 of the family's 2925-position model. The record is from RNAcentral. Lineage: Eukaryota; Metazoa; Chordata; Amphibia; Anura; Craugastoridae.